AGUGAACGCUGGCGGUAGGCCUAACACAUGCAAGUCGAACGGCAGCACAGUAAUAGCUUGCUCUUACGGGUGGCGAGUGGCGGACGGGUGAGGAAUACAUCGGAAUCUACUUUUUCGUGGGGGAUAACGUAGGGAAACUUACGCUAAUACAGCAUACGACCUACGGGUGAAAGCAGCGUAUCUUCGGACCUUGCGCGAUUGAAUGAGCCGAUGUCGGAUUAGCUAGUUGGCGGGGUAAAGGCACACCAAGGCGACGAUCCGUAGCUGGUCUGAGAGGAUGAGCAGCCACACUGGAACUGAGACACGGUCCAGACUCCUACGGGAGGCAGCAGUGGGGAAUAUUGGACAAUGGGCGCAAGCCUGAGCCAGCCAUACCGCGUCGGUGAAGAAGGCCUUCGGGUUGUAAAGCCCUUUUGUUGGGAAAGAAAAGCAGCAGGUUAAUACCCCGCUGUUCUGACGGUACCCAAAGAAUAAGCACCGGCUAACUUCGUG
Molecule: ribosomal RNA, 492 nt
Filed under: uncultured bacterium
Lineage: Bacteria
Description: partial 16S ribosomal RNA
Rfam family: Bacterial small subunit ribosomal RNA
Source: RNAcentral